Molecule: unclassified non-coding RNA, 306 nt
Organism: Mesocricetus auratus (golden hamster)
Lineage: Eukaryota; Metazoa; Chordata; Mammalia; Rodentia; Cricetidae
Gene: 7SK
Rfam family: 7SK RNA
About the family: 7SK was discovered as an abundant small nuclear RNA in the mid-70s but a possible function has only recently been suggested.
Source: Ensembl
AGGCAGCAGGAAGAGAGAGACACGGGGCCACGAUCACCAAGGCUGAUUUGGUUGAUUUGACUGUCUAGACAGGUGUCCUCUUCUUCCCUCACUACUCUCUGUGUCCCUCUCAAAGCUGUGUGAUGGUCAAAGACGAUGGUCUCCUUAGAGGAGGAACAGUCUUCAGUCAAUGAUAUAAGAGUAACUGUUCCCCUGCUGGGACCUCCUCACAAGUGCUUGAUCCAAGUACACAGCACAUUAGCCUGUAGGCACCAUUUCCUAUUUAAACCUUACAAGUCCACAGAGGGCCAUGGUGCAACCUGGUUU